Molecule: long non-coding RNA, 1791 nt
Organism: Vespa mandarinia (Asian giant hornet)
Lineage: Eukaryota; Metazoa; Arthropoda; Insecta; Hymenoptera; Vespidae
Source: RefSeq, a predicted model, not a curated record
GCAUUCCGGAAUGCUCCGCCAUUUGCGAACGAAUCGAGCGUGCGUGCCUGCGUGUGGGUUGCGUCUGUGCGAGAGAGGGAGAGAAAGCAGAGAAACUCUCAAGAAGCACAUUUACUUAUUCUCUAAGUACGAUUGUAAUACGAAUGUAGUUGUAUUUGACGAAAGAAUAUUACAAGUGCAUCUACUAAAUAUCUUUCCUUUCUAUUUUCAUUUUGAAAAAAAAAAAGAAAAAAAAAAAGAAAAUAACGACUGCCAAAAAUUAUUCUCCAUAUGUAAUAUGUACUUUUCCGUUUUCAUUUCUUUUUCUUACCUUGAAGCGAACAUUCCAUCGAGGUCCGUUGCGUUAGGAAGGUAUCAAAAUACGCUUUCCUUUCCGUUCCUUCGAAACACGUUCCUACAUGACACGUUCGGAAUUUUUUCGGAAGGCCAUUAAACACGCUUGUCGUUUCAUAUUUAUUUCUUCCUCUAUCUUUAUUUUUUAAACACAUUCGAACAUUGUAGAUACAUUUUCGUGUUAUUCCAUUGAGAAUUCCCUCGAUAAUUCGAUAUCGAUGAAAUUUUUAUCGAAGAUUCGAGAUGGAAAAAGGAUAUGAAAAUGGUGGACAAUUGAAAACUCAUUCGUUAUCGCUUCGUUAUGACACUUAUGAGCGAGAAAGUCUGAAGGCUGAGCCAAGAAUUCCAGGGGGGAGGGGUGGAGUCUUGGGGCGCAGGUGAGUGAGCUCCGGGAUGAUGAUGUGGCACAUUGGCCUCGUUCGCUCGAAUAACUCCUCUCGUCGCUAUUAGACCGGUUCUCUGUAAGUCGAUUUAAAGAAAUUUUUCCUUACGGAAAUACCGCGUCACAAGUCUGGUACGAGACAACGAACGCAAGAAGUCGAUCGAUCUGGCGAGGAUCUACGCGAAGACAAUCAAUUCUUUCCGAUAAUUUUUCAUUUUCCAUAUAUAUAUAUAUAUAUGUAGUAGGGAUAUCAUUUAUAAGAAAUAUCGAUUGUAUGUGAAGAAGAAAAUGAUGCAAAGUUUACGUGUCAUUAUGAUAAUGCGCAUUUUCAUCGGUUUUUUUCUCUUUCUUUUGCUACUUUGCUAUUUUUCGAAAAUAGCCUAUGUCAAAAAUAGAAAGCUUUUUCAGAAAACUCCGCCAGAAUAACGCAGUAAAUUGAGCUUUACGUUUUAAAAUUUUCCUCCAUUGUUCAUCAAAAUUGGUUAAAAAUUACUUCUGUUAUCAUUGAUGACGUAAAUGCUGUUUUCGACAUUUUUCACGAAGAAAAAGUUACUAGUACUCCUACGCCCCUUGAAAUUUGCGACAAAAGAGAUAAAGCUCGCAGCAGCCCCACUACUGAUUUUCAUAUACGGAAUGGUUUAUCUAGUCGGUGAAGUUGCAAUUGAUAAAGUGUGCGUAAAUAGCUGAUGCUUAGAUUUUUUGAACAUUUCCGAAUGCAAAGAAAUAGGUUGCACGACGCUCGUACAGAGAAGCUACAGAAACUCACUCAAGAUAAGAAAAUACUCAUCCCUAAUCGUUUACGUUAGUUAACAUAUGGAAUCUUAACAUAUAAAAACUGCUGGUGCAUGUCGCGAAAAAAACAAUGUAUAACGUAUUAAAGAACGAAGAAUUUUCUAGAAAUUCGAAGCAGCGAUAAAAGAAGCUUCGUCCUAUCGACGAAGAAUUCUUGGAACUCUAUGCCCUUUACAAACAAGCUACAAUAUAGAGAUUGCAAUAGACAAAAUAGGAAUAUCAGCGAAGCCCAAUGUACAUUCGAUUUGAAAGGAAAGGUAAAAUGGGAAGCUAUGGAGAAGCAA